UUAAAUUGGAAUGUCUCGACAGGUAACGAUAAAGUCUCGGUCGUAACACAACUUCCCGAUAGGAUGGUGGAGGAGUGCCUGGACAAGAUGAUGCCAGGCUUGUGGUACUCUCUACAUUAUCUUACAAACAAAUGUAAGAAACCACCAUACCACACGCGGUACCAAAUAUGAAACCGAGAAGAAGAAACCAAAACAAAUCGAUAUUGUUUAUUUGGCACGACGUUUGCUUGUAGAAGAAUCAUCUUCUCAAAUUUCUUUGGGACCAAGGAUUUCUGGAAAAGAAAAAGCAUGUUUGGAUUUUGGUUAUGUAUCGACGAUCUCUUGUGUAUCUGCAUAUGGUAAAAUGCUUGAAUAGCAAGUUUACACUAUCUUUCUAUAAAUUUUACCGUUGAUCUUAGAUUGAACGAUAUUAACGAUAAAUUAGUUAUGAAAAUUGAAAUUUGGUUUUCACUUGA
Molecule: long non-coding RNA, 455 nt
Organism: Colletes gigas
Lineage: Eukaryota; Metazoa; Arthropoda; Insecta; Hymenoptera; Colletidae
Exons: 4
Source: RefSeq, a predicted model, not a curated record